Long non-coding RNA from Lagopus leucura (white-tailed ptarmigan), 4990 nucleotides. RefSeq lists it as uncharacterized. The transcript has 12 exons. The record is from RefSeq and is a predicted model, not a curated record. Lineage: Eukaryota; Metazoa; Chordata; Aves; Galliformes; Phasianidae.
UUCAUUGCAGGGAGUGGGGCUAGAUGACCUUUAAAGGUCCCUUCCAACUCAAACGAUUCUAUGAUUCUAUGAAAAAGGUCAUGUCAGGUGUGAUCAGAAACUUGAGUAAUCCUGCAAUCAGUGGUUUGAUUAGUUAUGAACAUUCAUAAGUUGGGAAAUUGAAUACAUGAAACGUUGGAGAAUGGAAAUGUAUGAAAUAAUGCAUGAAGUGAGCCCACAGCCUGGCUCUGUGAUGGAGGUGCUCAUUGAGGGUCCUGGGCUCUGUAUACUGCUGUGUUUGGUUCAGCUGUGCUGCAGCAGGAGAUGGCAGAGUUCCCAAUCAGCAGCACCAGUGUGCACAGAAAUUGAUGUGCUUCCUAUUCUCCUUACCCUGGUGAAUUCCUUCAGAAGCAUGAAUGUUGCUGCUCCUGUGCUCAUUGCAGCCGAAUGGUGCACUUUCAUAUCUGUUUCUUAGUUCUGUAGGCACAUAAAUGCUUGGUCAUUCUGGCAAUUUGUCUCUUUUUCAAGAAUAUGGUUUUCCCUUUGCUGGUAAUUCCUGUUAUGAACUCAUAGUUCUUGCUGAGCAUUAUUCCUGCUGUCUGCGUGGAUGGCUGCAAGGUUCAGCUCUGAAUGUGGCUUUUAAAGGGAUAUGGAAUCACUCUGCUGUCAUUCUGAAAGCUUUAUCCAACCGCUAGAUUUCUUUUAGUUCUUCAUGCUUCUUUUUCUUUUUUUGUUGUAUCAUAUGGGGCACGUUGUUUACCAUUUUCUCCACAGAUCUGUCCUGAUACUGUAAUUAUAAAGUUGUUUAGCUAUCUGUUUUAGUGAAUGUAUCUGUAUAAAACAUUGGAUGUUAUGAUUGUCUUGCUAUAAUGUUACUAGAUGUAUUUCCCAAGCUACUAAGUUUGUUUGGAGAUGAAAAUUAGAUGCAAAAUAGAAAUAUAAGCACCUCCAUUCUGUAAUCUUGCCAUAAUUUUCUCUCUCAUCAAUGUAGUAUCAGUAAUUAAUGCUCCUAGAAACGUACACUUUCUUUGUUGCUAUGGGUUUAUCCGAGAUCUCAGCUAAUCACAGAAUUAUUGUUGCUGUUAUCCCAGUUUUCUUUCAAGUCCCCAGCUGCCUGGUGUGUGAUACUCUGUCUUUUCUGCAACUGGCAAGUCAAUAGCGAAGCUAAUCUGUUUUGAUUCAUAUCAUGAGGAUGCCACAGGAGUUGGAACAACUUCAGUUGUGCAAUUGCUGCGCAUUUAUGGCUUCUACUCUGGAAAAAGAAAAUAGCUGAAUGAGAGGAGAUGAGAGAGGCUCUGAGCAAUGAGGCAGGGGACUGUCCAGAGUGAGAAUCAAGUGGAGAUAGCCAAGUGAGAGAGCGGAAAGGACAUGGGAACAAAGGUGAUAAGCCAUGAGGAAUUGCUGCAGGUGCCGGAGUGCCUGACUACAGCUUUUCUGAUAACUCAUUUGCCACUGGAACUUCCUUCCCUGCAUACUGGAACUGUUUCCUCCUGUCUCACAGUGGUCUUUGACAUCUCCUCUGGGCCAUAUUGAAAGACCUGAGCUGAUUGGAACUGCUGAAUCUGUAGGGAGGAUUUCAACAGAGCUCUGAGUACUGGGACAUGGGAGGUGUGCAAGGAGUGGGGAGGAAAAUUCUAGCCCUCCCCCUUCCCUUUGGCAGGCGCUCACUGCGAGCCUGGAAAUGAUCUUGGUGAUGGAGCUGAGACACAUGAAUUUACUGAGGGCAGGAGUGAAAGGCAAUUUGGUGCAGAUUUUGUAACAGAGAGGAGGCUUGGAAGAUGGUUAAUGUGACAACAAUUGCUGAGAAGGUCCCCAGGAGUGAAAUGGAGAACUGCAGACCGUCACAUUGGAGUCUGUACUGAGCAAAUCAGAAGCUCUGGCCUCAAACUGCUCUGGGUGAAGACAGUAGCUGAAGCAAUUACUGAAGCAUUAGUGACUGUCCUGGAAGUUCUUGGAAGGGCAGCAGGAUGGAACUGGCAAUGCUGUGGCUGAGGGAGGCGGAGGUCAGCAGCCGAGGGCUAGAGCAGGAGCCACAUCCUCGAGUUGCAGCAGCGCAGUUUGAUGCUGUGGUUGUGCCAGGGCUGCUGGGAGAAGAGCUGGACUGGCUGAAAACUGCAGUCCUCUCAAGCUGGUGGAAGAGCUACGGGUGCUUGCUGCUAACUGCUUUUUCACCUCUUGUCCACCCCUCCACCAGCCGCUUGGGGCCACCAUUUUAGACUUCAGCUGGAGCUGCAAAGCGUUAGUGAUCUUGUUUUCCAGAGAUCAUAUUUGAAGUAGAAAGAACUGGAUUUUGCCUUCAUUUACGCCUCAAGGAGCUGCCACAGGGGGAGGGGCCAGUGUUUGCCAGCUUGCUCUGCUCCCUGCAGCCCUCACUGGGGAGCCGCGCCACAGGAAAUGCUGAGCAGGAAUCAGGCAUGAGAGCAUCGUGCUGGGUUGGUUUUGCUCUUGGAAACAGAAGGUGGAGCAAGCCACAACUGAGACAAGUGCAUCUACUGCUUGUGUGAGAUUUUACGCUGUCUCAUUUGGAUUGUAUCUCAAGGAGGAUUUAGAGGAGCUUGCAAGCUGGAGAUCUGCUGACUUCCCAAAGCUUGCAGGCAGCACUCUUCCCCUGCAUGUGACAUGUGCAUCGCCCUCAAAUUCAGAGGAUGGCUCACAGCUGCUGUGACUGCAACCAGGAUGUAUCUGGGGCUGAGAGUUGCCCAUGGGAGCCAGGAGUGCUGCACCACCACUCUGCUAUGGGAGCUGCUGCACUGUGCCCCAGAUUGCAGCUGAAAUCUUGAUGCCGGCUGAGCCCAGGACUCCCAGCUCCUCCUGCUUCUUCCCUUGCUCUUCACGGUGAUACGCCGUGCUGGCUUUCCUGGGGCCGAGAUGAUCUGUGAUGGUGGUGGUGGCUCUCCCAGGGUCCCCUAUGAGCCAUUUUGUGGUGUUGGAGCAUCCUGACACCAUCAGCUGACCUCAGGACAUCGGUACCCAUGGUAGCACCUCGCAACUGGGGAUCCUGCAGAAACCAACAACCAAUGUGGGUGUCUGGGGGCACGCUGCAGGGCAAUGGCAGGAGAGGACAGGGAAACUUGCUGCCUCACCCAACCACCAAGCUGCCUUAGGAAGGCUUGUUUUAGCACGAGGGCGCUUUGCAUCCCCGCCGCUCUGAGCAGAUCUGACGGCUCUCAAUGCGUGCGAAUGAGGCCGCAGCCAGCACGCAGGGAGGAUGCAAGCAAGCACAAGUUAGUGCUUGUGUUUGCCACUGAUAAAUGUAUUAGUCUUUAAAGCGGUAUUUAAACUACAACCCUUUUUCAGGCACCUCAGCACUCCGUUAUUUUGCAGGCCUUGUAAAGGAAUGUGAUUUUGCCUUUUAACUGGAGUGUAUCUUAUGCUAAGCAGUGAGAUUAAGCAUAGGGAUCCAAAAGAAGUUGCUGAAUGGCAGAAUUGCCUUUAUAAAUAACAUUAAUAAUUUAUCCGAUCCAGGGGUUUUUGGGUAAAUGAAAUACCUGCCUCUGUAUAAAGCCCACUGAAUAGGAACACAUCUCCGCUUUUAUGAGGCUUGGAUUAAAGAAGGGAAAUGCUAAGGGGCUUAUCUUCGCUUCAAUUUGCAGCCCUUCCGGCUAAUGGCAAACUCAUUUAAGAAGCUCCUGUGUUUGUGCCAACUCUGCCUUUAUUCUCGGUGCCGGAGCUUGGCUGCAUUUCUCGCCGCAGUGCUGGAGAGAGCAGAGAGGAAGCAGUUUGUUUUCUUGACCUCAGAUUAUCAGACAAAAGCCAGUGAGAAUAAUUUUGCUGGAAUGCUCCCUAUUACGAAUGGUUUAAAGCGUGGUGGCUGGCAAGAUGCUGACAGUGUGGGGAUUUGCCCCACCUGCUGAAGAGGACAGGGCUGUUGGCUGAGCUGGGACGAGACGAAAGAGCGGCUGUCAUCUCUCUUCUGAGACACCUCUUCCUCAUGCACAGACAGUUGUGAAAUGGCAAAACCCAUCCUCUACAAAAACCACGAGCGGUCGCUUUUCAGCUUCUCUUUUAUGCCGGUAAAAUCAAUUGCUUCAAAGUUCACUGAAGGUGAAGGCAACAUUUGCUUUCCAUUCAGAGCUAAGCGGGCCAUCUUCGAGAGCAAACGCUCGCAAUAGGGAGAAUAGCAAAAAUCAGCAGAAAAAGUCUCUGAAUAAUUUGAACUGGGAGAGGAAAAAGCAAUUUGCUCCCAGUUAUUCCACAGACAAAAGUAUGAAUAAAAAAAUCAUGAGCUAUUUACCCUGCCCAGGCUAUUUGCAUGAGUUUUAUGCUAUUCCAGUUUUGCUUCCCUGACCCCCAAAGACCUUAUCACUGGAUCCUCAAUGCACUUCAGUAAAAAAAAAAGCAUGCUCUUUUUCUUUUCUUUUUUCUUUUCCUUUUUUUUUUUUUGCAUGCUGGAUCAGCAAUGACCAAAAGCAGAGAAAACAAAAAGGGGUCUAAAUCUGAACUGUGCUGAUGCUUGCGUGUGUGUUGACCUGGAUUAGAGACCUGGACUCCGGCCUGCCAACUCUAUCAGCAUAGAAAUUUUGUUCAAAACAGUAUUGUAAGUUUGUGUGCUUUGCUUUCAGAUAGCGAGGCUGUGGCAAAGGCAUGCGGGUAUUUACAAUCUGCUUUAGGAAAACCUGAUAGAAGUUGUUAGCUGCUCUGUUGCAAAGGCAGCUUAUGUCACCCACAUCUGCUGCUGAAGGUAGCCCAGCCAGAUGGCUGGCAUGGCACGAAGUGCUAACAUCCACGCUGGCUGCAAUGAGGAGACGAAAAUGAAAGAAGGAUGAAGACCUCAUAAGCUUUAUCAGAAGCCACCAAAAAGUUGGGAGAUUUGGGGAUUACAUCGUGUAAUUAUAUUACCUUAAAGAAAAGUUUACUGAAGAUUCCCUGUUUUGUGUUGCCAGCUCUUUUCAGCCAUUAGUAACACAUAACUUCUCAUUGUCUUUUCCCGAGGCACAGAUGGGCUAAUUUUCAGCUACCUGAUAAUUACACAUUGUUUGAAACUGUAUCAAAAGCUUCUGUUCCUGCAUUU